AGAGCUUGCUCUCGGGUGACGAGUGGCGGACGGGUGAGUAAUGUCUGGGAAACUGCCUGAUGGAGGGGGAUAACUACUGGAAACGGUAGCUAAUACCGCAUAACGUCGCAAGACCAAAGAGGGGGACCUUCGGGCCUCUUGCCAUCAGAUGUGCCCAGAUGGGAUUAGCUAGUAGGUGGGGUAACGGCUCACCUAGGCGACGAUCCCUAGCUGGUCUGAGAGGAUGACCAGCCACACUGGAACUGAGACACGGUCCAGACUCCUACGGGAGGCAGCAGUGGGGAAUAUUGCACAAUGGGCGCAAGCCUGAUGCAGCCAUGCCGCGUGUAUGAAGAAGGCCUUCGGGUUGUAAAGUACUUUCAGCGGGGAGGAAGGUGUUGCGGUUAAUAACCGCAGCAAUUGACGUUACCCGCAGAAGAAGCACCGGCUAACUCCGUGCCAGCAGCCGCGGUAAUACGGAGGGUGCAAGCGUUAAUCGGAAUUACUGGGCGUAAAGCGCACGCAGGCGGUCUGUCAAGUCGGAUGUGAAAUCCCCGGGCUCAACCUGGGAACUGCAUUCGAAACUGGCAGGCUAGAGUCUUGUAGAGGGGGGUAGAAUUCCAGGUGUAGCGGUGAAAUGCGUAGAGAUCUGGAGGAAUACCGGUGGCGAAGGCGGCCCCCUGGACAAAGACUGACGCUCAGGUGCGAAAGCGUGGGGAGCAAACAGGAUUAGAUACCCUGGUAGUCCACGCCGUAAACGAUGUCGACUUGGAGGUUGUGCCCUUGAGGCGUGGCUUCCGGAGCUAACGCGUUAAGUCGACCGCCUGGGGAGUACGGCCGCAAGGUUAAAACUCAAAUGAAUUGACGGGGGCCCGCACAAGCGGUGGAGCAUGUGGUUUAAUUCGAUGCAACGCGAAGAACCUUACCUACUCUUGACAUCCAGAGAACUUUCCAGAGAUGGAUUGGUGCCUUCGGGAACUCUGAGACAGGUGCUGCAUGGCUGUCGUCAGCUCGUGUUGUGAAAUGUUGGGUUAAGUCCCGCAACGAGCGCAACCCUUAUCCUUUGUUGCCAGCGGUCCGGCCGGGAACUCAAAGGAGACUGCCAGUGAUAAACUGGAGGAAGGUGGGGAUGACGUCAAGUCAUCAUGGCCCUUACGAGUAGGGCUACACACGUGCUACAAUGGCGCAUACAAAGAGAAGCGAACUCGCGAGAGCAAGCGGACCUCAUAAAGUGCGUCGUAGUCCGGAUUGGAGUCUGCAACUCGACUCCAUGAAGUCGGAAUCGCUAGUAAUCGUAGAUCAGAAUGCUACGGUGAAUACGUUCCCGGGCCUUGUACACACCGCCCGUCACACCAUGGGAGUGGGUUGCAAAAGAAGUAGGUAGCUUAACCUUCGGGAGGG
RNAcentral lists this ribosomal RNA (1380 nucleotides) under Pantoea sp. RNAcentral describes it as "bacterial SSU rRNA". It matches the Rfam family "Bacterial small subunit ribosomal RNA", at positions 75 to 1450 of the family's 1533-position model. The record is from RNAcentral. Lineage: Bacteria; Pseudomonadati; Pseudomonadota; Gammaproteobacteria; Enterobacterales; Erwiniaceae.